Long non-coding RNA from Cydia pomonella (codling moth), 544 nucleotides. RefSeq lists it as uncharacterized. Lineage: Eukaryota; Metazoa; Arthropoda; Insecta; Lepidoptera; Tortricidae. The transcript is spliced from 2 exons. The record is from RefSeq and is a predicted model, not a curated record.
AUGAAAUUAAAAAAAAUUUUUUUUUUUCAACAUACCCAUACAUGUGGGGUAUCUAUGGAUAGGUCUUCAAAAAUGAUAUUAAGGUUUCUAAUAUAAUUUUUUUCUAAACUGAAUAGUUUGCGCGAGAGAACCUCCCAAAGUAAAAAAAAGUGUGUCCCCCCCCCUGUAACUUCUAAAAUAACAGAAUGAAAAAUCUAAAAAAAAUAUAUGAUAUACAUUACGAUGCAAACUUCUAACGAAAAUUGUUUUGAACGAGAUCUAGUGAGUAGUUUUUUUUAAUACGUCAUAAAAUUAAAUUUAUUUUUUUUUGUCAAACCCAUACGUGUGGGGUAUCUAUGGAUAGGUCUUCAAAAAUGAUAUUUAGGUUCCUAAUAUAAUUUUUUUCUAAAGUGAAUAGUUUGCGCGAGAGACACUACCAAAGUGGUAAAAUGUGUGUCCAAAGUGGUAAAAUGUUGAACGAGAUCUAGUAGUUUAAGUAGUUUUUUUUAAUACGUCAUAAAGGAACCCUUCAUGGGCGAGUCCGACUCGCACUUGGCCGCUUUUU